This is a long non-coding RNA of Brassica rapa (field mustard), 1284 nucleotides long. RefSeq lists it as uncharacterized. NCBI's taxonomy places the organism in Eukaryota, Viridiplantae, Streptophyta, Magnoliopsida, Brassicales, Brassicaceae. The record is from RefSeq and is a predicted model, not a curated record.
ACUGUAACAGCCUCUAGCUUUGGACCCCACUUGUAACAAACUUUCGAAUGAAAGAAGUGACUCUAUACGGCUGGGUUUACAACUAUGAUCAAAGCGACUCAUAAACCAGAAUACAAUUUUAGAUCUCCCAAUCAGAUUUCAUAUGACCAGAACCUUCUGAUUUCCAUGGAGUCUUUCCGACCAACUCUCUACAAUUUUAAUUAACAUUUUGAAGUUUCUACGUACAUUUAUCGUCCUUUUUAUAAACCAUAGUUUGUUUCCACACAAGAAAUUUAUAUCUAUCUAUCUAUAUAUAAAAAACUGUUUACUCUUUUCAGAACACGAUACGUCGGAUUCCACGUCAGAAAGUUGAAGGCUGUUGUCGCGAUACGUGUCUACUCACACAGUAUUUCAUUUAACUAAAGGAAAGAGAAUUUUGUGGGUUUCUCGUAAUCAAAAGAAUUAAAGCCCAAACAUUAGAAGCCCUUUCAGUCUUCUUCCAGAAGUCCUUUCGGUCUUCUUCCCCGACCUUAAAAGAAAUAUUUUGCGUUCUCUUAUACCAUCAAUGGCGUCACGAGAUAUUGGAUGACCAAAAUCAAGAUGAAAAAUCUCUUUGUUUGUCUCCAUUCGUGUCGUUUAGCCUUCUACUUUACUCAACCGAAACGGUCCGAGUCACAGCCAUCGCCUUCUUACUCUAUACACCGACAUGAAGCACGAUCUGACAUUGAUUAUGAAUUGUGCCUCUGCAAGGCGGUUUAUUCUACACCUAUAAAAAUGAUCUUCCAACUCUUAUGCUAGAAAAUACAGUUUUUGAUGUUCUCAAAAUUCUUAGUUGGUAAGGAAUCCAACAAUCAACACGGUCUUUUUGAUUUCUAUAGGCUUUUCUUAUAUGUAGUUUCAUGAUGUCUUAAAGUAAAUAUUUACUUUUUCUGUAUAUGUAAAAAAACAUCUGAUUCUCAUACAUUGCAAAGCCGGAAACGUAAUAUACUCCUUAUUGCUUUUCAUCUCUUGAGAACCAGCAAUAGAAGAUUGUGACUGAGAUCUUACCGUCAAAGAAAUUCUACAAAGCUGAAGAAUACCAUCAGCAUUACCUCUCCAAAGGUGGGAAUAGUGGCCAUGCACAGUCCCCUUCAAAGAGCUGCAAGGACUCUAUCAGCUGCUUUGGCUGAGGAAAAGCUUUUGCUCCUCUUCCACCAAAACAGAGGAUUCUCAGAGAAUAUCUAUCUGUUUGUGUGUGUGUGUUGAUUUGUAAGUCUCAGUUAAUAAUAAAGAUGCAUGUGUGAUCAAAAGAUAAUUUUUGAGCCA